GUAAACUUAGAUCUACACAUCACUGCCACUCCAUCACCAGGAUUAAUUUAGCUGAUCUGGCUGGUUAGGUGGGUGUCCCCUUCCCUCACCACUCAUGUAUGUCUCUCCAGUUCCUCUUGGCACUGUGUGCUCUGUUGAAGAGAACAACCCUCCCCAAAUGGAGGAGGACCAAUCUUUGGUCAAGAGUAUAUGAGUAGCUGUCUCCCCUGCUAGACUGACUGCACAUGCUUUUGUGAUGUACAAA
RNAcentral lists this small RNA (244 nucleotides) under Jaculus jaculus (lesser Egyptian jerboa). RNAcentral describes it as "7SK RNA (ENSJJAG00000005676.1)". It matches the Rfam family "7SK RNA", at positions 11 to 252 of the family's 331-position model. Rfam says of the family: 7SK was discovered as an abundant small nuclear RNA in the mid-70s but a possible function has only recently been suggested. Two independent studies have found that 7SK RNA binds the CDK9/cyclin T complex (known as elongation factor P-TEFb). The record is from RNAcentral. Lineage: Eukaryota; Metazoa; Chordata; Mammalia; Rodentia; Dipodidae.